RNAcentral lists this long non-coding RNA (2197 nucleotides) under Sus scrofa (pig). RNAcentral describes it as "lncRNA (ENSSSCG00005031199.1)". Lineage: Eukaryota; Metazoa; Chordata; Mammalia; Artiodactyla; Suidae. The record is from RNAcentral.
AUGGAGGUUCCUGGACCAGGGAUUGAAUCUGAGCUGCAGCUGCAAUCUACGUUACGCUGCAGCUGUGGCAACACUGGAUCUUUUAACCCACUGUACCAGGCCCUAGGACUGAACCUGCACCUCUGUAGCAAUCUGAGCUACUGCAGUCAGAUUCUUAACACACUGCACCAGAGCAGGAACUCCUGAACUGUUGGGAAAAGGAAAAACUUACCUUUAUCAGGAAUUUCUGGAAUUACUGUAUGGCGGUAACAUCCAAAAGGAAAACGGAGUUGAGACAAGGCAGAGGGAAAGGGGGAGAGGAACGGCAGAGGGAAGGGUAAAGGGGAGGGGCUGGUUCGGGGUAUUUUUAACCACAUGGACCCCAAAUUCAUUCCUUGCUUAAGUCAGUAUGAGUUGGAUUUUUCUGUCACUUACAUCUAAGUUCUAACACAAAAUCUAUCCAGCUAUGAUCAUGUUCAAAAUGGGGCAGUUCAUCAGAUGUGAGGAGAUUCUAUGUCCUCAGAGGUACUCUGAUGGUCCCCAGGGAAAUGCAGGGUCAAUAAGAUAAGGCUCCUCUGUACAAGGAUGCUGUUCUAAACACUUGAACUUUUUCCAACUCUCAGGGACAUAAUGUCUUUUUUCUAAGCAAGAUGUUCUUCUACAAAGAUUUUUGCAAGUAAGGGGAAAAGGCUGGGGGGGGGGGAGGGAAGAGUCCUGAUUGUGUAUUGUUACUGUACAGUAAACAUAUUUCUUAACUCCCAGAGAAAUAGCUAGCACUCAGAAAAUGGGUUUUGGGGACAUGAAGAAGAAGGGCCAUUAUUAUCUAAUGAGGGCCUUAGGCAGAAUCCUUGAAGAGGGCCAAAGACUGUUACCAGAAUGACUUGGCUGAAAUUAUACUUAUGUAUUCAUUCUGAUGGAAUAUCAGGUGUGCAGUAAAAUAUUAGAUUACAUUACUAGACACUCUACUAAACAUAGAUUUUAUAUGUAUAAUUUUUUAUGGAGGGAUAAAUAUUUUAGAUUGGUACUGGCUUACACAUGAAGGCGUUUAUCUGCUUAAGAUUUCUCUUUACUAUUUCCAUAUAAUCCUUGUGUCUACCAUGCAUUCAUGCACCUGUAUCAGAGGAAAAGAACAAUGAUCCUUAUACUCUACUUCAUACAAAUUUUACAUUUUAAAGCUCCUGGAAAAUACUGUUGACUCACCAAACAUUUUAUUUUUAUUUAAAAAAUUUUUUGGCCACUCUCUGAGCAUGCAGAAAUUCCCAAGCUAAGGACUGAACCCACAUCGCAGCAGUGACCUGAGCCGCAUCAGUGAAAAUGCCAGAUUCUUAGCCGGCUGAACCACCAGGGAACUCCGUGACUCAAAAAUGUUAAAAGAACAGAUUAUCUGUUCCUUUUUUUUUUCUUUUGAAGAAAGGAAACAGUAGAGAUAGCCAGUAAUGAAUUGUCCUCAACAAGCCCAGUGAAUGCAUGUGUAUAGAAAUAUUUGCAGUACAGUGGGGUGAGAGAAUAGUAUCAUUUAGAGAAUAACAGUGUGUGGAGCAAUGAGAAGUCACUGCUCCAAGCCAGAGGGUGUCAAGAUCAGUGUCCAUCUGUAAGAGAGGCUCUUGUGAUCACCAUCAGUCACCCCAACACUGGACAGCCCCACCCCCUCACUCCAUGGUGGAAAGUCAGAUGCACAGGGCAGCCCACUGAAUUUACCGUCACUGUCUCUGUUCUAUGCAGAGUUCCUUGGGAAUGCAGUGAUAAAUGCUCCAGCUUCCACAGACCCAGCCACAGGUUUCCCAUGACAGAUAUGGCCCGGACCCCAAGGCCUUCAGGAGUCAGUGCUGUCUGAACAUACCCUCUGCCAUUUUGACCCAGGAUGCACCCACAGUGCUGGGAUUACCUGUCCAAAGAGGUUCCAGUGUUAGUGUUCUGCUCAGCUGAUCAAAGCCUUGGCACUGAACCAGGGACACCACUGCAAAUCCUCCUGGUUUAUAGCAAACUGAGUCUGAGGACUUAAUUACCCCUGCUGGCCAUCUGGGGCUUUUGAGGGCCAGCAGGCCACUUUGAUGGCACUGAUCCUGACUGUGGAGGAGUCUGCAUUAGAUGCUGAUGGAGUGUGAAAUCUCAUCUAUCCAGAGAGCUAGAGCUUGAGGCUCCACCCCUCAAACACACAGUUCUCUCCUCUCUUGGCACCUGGGUGGCUAUUUCCUUUACAUUUAUAUCACACACGGAU